AUCUCACUAAUGAAUGAAGACGAAAAGAAGACAUUGUCACUCAAAUCCGGAAAGGUUUUCGAAAGAGAGCUGUUCAAAGGGAACACCUCUUCCUUCAGCCACGUGCAUGGACCUAAAGACUCAGAGGUGAAAAUUUUUAGGGUGCUGCCACCCAAGCUGAAUUUCAAUAGUUUGGCUAAAUGAUCCAA
Molecule: long non-coding RNA, 188 nt
Organism: Hyaena hyaena (striped hyena)
Lineage: Eukaryota; Metazoa; Chordata; Mammalia; Carnivora; Hyaenidae
Exons: 2
Source: RefSeq, a predicted model, not a curated record